AUUGAACGCUGGCGGCAGGCCUAACACAUGCAAGUCGAGCGGAUGAAGGGAGCUUGCUCCUGGAUUCAGCGGCGGACGGGUGAGUAAUGCCCAGGAAUCUGCCUGGUAGUGGGGGAUAACGUCCGGAAACGGGCGCUAAUACCGCAUACGUCCUGAGGGAGAAAGUGGGGGAUCUUCGGACCUCACGCUAUCAGAUGAGCCUAGGUCGGAUUAGCUAGUUGGUGGGGUAAAGGCCUACCAAGGCGACGAUCCGUAACUGGUCUGAGAGGAUGAUCAGUCACACUGGAACUGAGACACGGUCCAGACUCCUACGGGAGGCAGCAGUGGGGAAUAUUGGACAAUGGGCGAAAGCCUGAUCCAGCCAUGCCGCGUGUGUGAAGAAGGUCUUCGGAUUGUAAAGCACUUUAAGUUGGGAGGAAGGGCAGUAAGUUAAUACCUUGCUAUUUUGACGUUACCAACAGAAUAAGCACCGGCUAACUUCGUG
Molecule: ribosomal RNA, 484 nt
Filed under: uncultured bacterium
Lineage: Bacteria
Description: partial 16S ribosomal RNA
Rfam family: Bacterial small subunit ribosomal RNA
Source: RNAcentral